Molecule: long non-coding RNA, 1964 nt
Filed under: Lynx pardinus (Iberian lynx)
Lineage: Eukaryota; Metazoa; Chordata; Mammalia; Carnivora; Felidae
Source: RNAcentral
UUUCUAACAAUAUUUAUUAAAAAGCAAAAUCCUUGAAUUCUUCCUGGUAGGCUCAGUAUUCAAUUACACAAAAAUAUGCAGUCGGUUUAAGGACUGCACGUAAGAUUAAGAUAACUGGUAUUUCAUGGUAAAUGAUUAAAUUAGCUGACACAGUUCUAUCCUGAACUUUGCCAUUAGGACUGACAUUUUUGUGCUGUGUGCGUUGCAGACGACGGGUAAUCUAAACUGGUAUGAACUUUUUCUCUUUGAAACUCUAACGUGAUCAAGGAGCGAUGUUCUCUCCGAGCAUCUGAACAGAGCAGUUAAAACAGAGUUUGAGAAAACAACCACAAAAAAAAUUCUAUUGUAGUAGGCUGAACUGCCCCAAGAGUAUUCCGGAAUUAGAGAACUCAGGGCUCCUUGAGAAACAAUGAAGAGACGGGGCAGAGGAGAACUAUUGAUUAAUUGAUUUACUGUAAUUUUCAGAUAGAGACGUCUGGGAAAAGAACUCAAUGGGCAGAAUUUUUUCUUUUUCACAGUCAAGUCUCAGUGGACUAAAAGCUUUGUUCUCUGUGGGGCAGGUAGUUCGAUUUCUGUAGUUCCAAAAAACCUCACCGUUUUACAUAUUCAUGCUGAUUUUUGGUUUUCCUUUCUCUAGCUAUCAAGGGGACAAGGGCUGUUAAAGAAAAAAGUGAGAUUUCUGAAACACAGGAAAACUUCUCACUGAAGUCAGGAAUGUGUUACUGAAUCGCUUUCCUUUUUUUCUUGAGGUCACUCCUGUGUUGGGGUCAGCUGCGUCACUGAGGUUCUCUAGUGGGUUUCUGGGUUCUAGGAUCCAGAAAGUUCCGGGAAGUGCUCCUGCCCAUCUUCGUCAGAAGUAAUUAACCAAAAACUAAAGGCCCCUCUUUCUCUUCAUAUUUUGAACCACAGAGCAGCUAAUACCAAGCAUGAAACACCAGUUUUCAGAUCAUUAGCACAAAGCAUCUUCCACAGGAGGCAAUAAAAUGUUGCUUUACAUCUCAGCUACAAUUAUGCUGGCUUUCAGAAAGCAGGAAUCUCCCAGAAAAGAAAUUUACAUGAAAACAGUCCCAUUGUUUGAGAACCUUUGCAAAUGAUGUACAAAGGGGUUUGAUAGUGAUUUUUAAAAAUUCAGGCUUUAUCACGGCCUCAAAGAUGUCCCGAGAAACCUGGUUACCUGUAAAGAACUCCAUUGUACUUACUACGCUUUAAAAAUGUGUACAAUACAGGAUUGUUUCAAAAUUUUUUCCCUAAGCUCCAAACUUCUUCCUCAGCUUCAAAGCCUUCUGUAACGAACGUCCUACAGAGAGUCUAGUGCUUUUUGGUUUAACAGUUCUGAGGGUCACUCAUUACUAGUUAAGAAAGCUGAAGAUAACAGCAAUAAAAACUGACAUAACUCCGAGUAUUUGGAACAACGUGAAAUGUUUCUCCCGUGGGUGUAGCUUUUAGGGAGCACAUGGGGACCCGUACCCCUUAGGGCUUGAUCAGAAGAUGAAACUCAAAGUGUCUCAGUUCAUGUUGAUUGCCUCUCAACUCCCGGGUGCUAGGAAUCUGGAUGUGCCCAUUACCACAUGUUCAAACAAUGGAUCUCCUGUGCCAGGAAUCUCAUUUCUGUAGAAAGACUUAAAAGGAUGGGUGAGGAAUAGGGUGUUGGACCAAAUGUUGUGACAUUUCCCUUUGAUUCUGACUUUCUUUAAAUUCUUCUGCAUUUAGUACCUAGCAUCUGUCUGGCAUUGGUACUCUUAGUUUCUUUGCCUCCUAAUUCACUGUGGAAGAUGAUCAAAGCAUGGAGUUUCUUCUACUCCAGAGGUUGGCAUUUGUGCAGGCACAAGUGAACUUGGUUUUCAAGCACCCAUCUUUGAACACUAGGAAUUCCUUUAAUGAUCCUGCCAGACAACACAGACUCCAGAAUUAGAAGCUUUACUUCCAGCGCUGCCAUUUACCAGCUUUGACACUUUGGACAAGUC